GGGCUCGGCGCGCUGGCCCCGCCCCGCCCCCGGGAGGAAGUUCCCGCUGUGGCGGCGGCCGACUGACGGGUCGGUCGGCAGACGGUGGCCGCGCGGGUCCGGUCCGCGCUCUCCCAUGGCGGAGCGGGAGGAUGUCGCUGGUGUUGGGGCUGCUGUCGCACACGCUGGGCAGGGUGCUGUGGUACUCCGGGCUCCAUAGGGGCUGCCAUGCCCCGCGGAAGCAGGCCAUGGAGCAGGACAAGGCGCUCGAGGUUUACGAUAUAAUCCGUACUAUUCGGGACCCGGAGAAACCUAAUACUUUAGAAGAACUGGAAGUGGUAACAGAAAGCUGUGUUGAAGUACACGAGAUAGGUGAAGACGAGUAUCUGGUUAUCAUCAGGUUUACACCAACAGUACCUCAUUGUUCUUUAGCUACUCUCAUUGGCCUUUGUUUAAGAGUAAAACUUCAGAGAUGUUUGCCUUUUAGACAUAAGCUGGAAAUCUACAUAUCUGAAGGUACACAUUCCACUGAAGAAGACAAAGGACAAAAUUGCAGCCUGGAGGUUUUGGAUCUGAAGAAUCAGUUGUUUCCAAAGCUGGAAAGGUGCUAGUGACCCGCAGAUCAGGUGAAGAGCUGGACAGAUGCAGCUGGCUUUGCUUUUAGAAGAACAGAUUUCAUCAAUAUCCAGCGCAGACUUAGGUUGCAGCAAGUGCGCUUGUAUCAGAAUGAGGAUAUCUGCCGGGAGCGACGAGAGACACUGUGGCUGCGAGAUAGGCGGCUCCUCUUCCCAGCGAGCUGCUUGGUGAUCUGUGGGGCGACUGAUGCCUUGGCUGCCGUUCAGCGAUACCUGCUUAAGGCAAAGCCUCAGCGCCUCAAAAACAGCUUUUGCUCCUCAAUUUAAUUUUUUUUUAAUAAAUAUAGAA
Rhea pennata is the source of this 903-nucleotide RNA transcript. It is a transcript of the gene named cytosolic iron-sulfur assembly component 2A, with no coding region annotated. The record is from RefSeq and is a predicted model, not a curated record. The transcript is spliced from 7 exons. NCBI's taxonomy places the organism in Eukaryota, Metazoa, Chordata, Aves, Rheiformes, Rheidae.